AGUUCCGGCACCGGGAUUUGGCCAAAGGCUUCGGCCGGUAAGGGAUGGGCAUGCGUAGGAUUAGCUUGUUGGCGGUGUAACGGACCACCAAGGCGACGAUCCUUAGGGGUUCUGAGAGGAAGGUCCCCCACACUGGCACUGAGAUACGGGCCAGACUCCUACGGGAGGCAGCAGUAGGGAAUAUUGGGCAAUGGGCGGUAGCCUGACCCAGCCAUGCCGCGUGCAGGAAGACGGCGUUCUGCGUUGUAAACUGCUUUUAUACGGGAAGAAAAGGCCCAUGCGUGGGACAUUGCCGGUCCGUAUGAAUAAGCACCGGCUAACUCCGUGCCACCAGCCGCGGUAAUACGGAGGGGGCAAGCGUUGUCCGGAUUUAUUGGGUUUAAAGGGUGCGUAGGGCGGCUUGUUAAGUCAGCGGUGAAAGUCUGUGGCUCAACCAUGGAAUUGCCGUUGAUACUGGCGGGCUUGAGUGCGAUGGGGUACAUGGGAAUUUAUGGUGUAGCGGUGAAAUGCAUAGAUA
This 517-nucleotide ribosomal RNA is filed under the name uncultured Bacteroidota bacterium. Its description in RNAcentral is "bacterial SSU rRNA". It matches the Rfam family "Bacterial small subunit ribosomal RNA", at positions 181 to 696 of the family's 1533-position model. Lineage: Bacteria; Pseudomonadati; Bacteroidota. The record is from RNAcentral.